CGGCACCUACUCAUCUUUAUGUGACCUCAUACCUCGCGAUCGCCUUCCUCCGCCUGUGGAAUCUCGGAUCUGUGAUGUUCUCUCUUAAGUCCCAACACAAUUCUCUGUAAUAAGAAAACCUCUUUCCUAGAUUCAUUUUACUUCUAUUUGCCCCAGAUCUUUGUUAUAUGGCAGCAACGACUCCUCCAGAAUUUAAUUUUUGAGUAGUUGUUUUUGUCUUUUUCAGAUUCGAAACUAUUCCACCUAGAUCACUUCAGAAAUCAAACCCUUUUUAAGUUUAAUUUUAAUUUUACUCACUAAAUUUCGGAUCUGUGAUUUCUCUUUUGAGUCCCAAUUAAUACAAUCCUUUGUAUUAUUAAAACUUCUUUCCUAGAUUCGUUUAACUUUUAUUAUCCCCAGAUCUUUGUUAUAUGGAUAGCAAUGAUCCUCCAGAAUUUAACUUUCGAGUAGUUGUUUUUGUCUUUUUCAGGUUAGAAUUAUUCCACAUAGAUCGCUUCAGAAACAAAACUCUCUCUAAGUUUAAUUUUACUUUAGCUCAAUGUGAUUGUUUUUCUUCAGGCCAGCAACGAUUCCGCACAUACUGAGUAAACUUCCCAUUGUUGACACCUUUGAGUUUGUUUGUACUUAUUUGUUCUUUAUGUCUUAAUAGCUGAACUAGAAAUCUUGAUUUUGCUUGAGGGAACGGUGCAAAAAAGUUUCGCAAACGCGGCAAAGGUCAAGUUUCAUGCUUAACCUUCAUAUGAUCCUAUCUAACUAUAGCAUCAUACGGUAUUAUCACUAUGAUCAUAGAGUACUGAUAUGAUCUUUUGGUAUCCUAAUAUUUUGAUCACACGAGUUGUGUGUAGACUGGAAAGUGUAAAGAGAUAGAAAAUUAAAUUAUAAGCAGUCAUAGGAACUGAAGAGGACUCAUACAGACCAAAGGCUCUUGGAAUAAUGGUAGGUUGAUUGCGGCAUUUUGCUACAUAAUGCUCUACCGGAACAGUCUUUAGGCCCCAAUUAUUUAAUGCACAGAAUAUAAAAUAACAGUAUACCACAACUAUCUAUUCGGACGGAUAGGACUACUAUAAAUGUUUACAAAAAGUUAUCUAUGAUAAGAGUCCACUGUAUUAGGUUAUAAGGUGUAAUAGUAACUUAUUUUUAUUUACCUCUUGGCUCCUCCAGGUCAAAUUACUUGUGCAUGCAGUUGUCUCACCAUCUUUAGUUUGGUGCAACGAAGCCUUGGCGAUUGCAUGGCUGAGCUAUCAUUGAAUGAGUUGAUUAAGGCUCUGACUUUAAGAUUAGAUCCAUGAAGAAAGUGUUACCCGAAUAUGGAUGUCUGGUGUUUAUACAACCAGGUGUUUCGUGUAAUGGUUACAUCUUGAAAGCUAUGUCUACGCUUCCUUAUUGCAUUGUGGUCCGUAUCGUCCUUCUAUACACAUUAGUUUGACCAUCGUUAGUUCAGUUCAUUGGUGUCAUCAUUUUCUUCGUUGUUUGCUUAAACAACAGAAUCAUCUGGAUUGCAAGUAAGAACUUCUAAAUAACCAUGAACAUUUGAUUUUAUAGCAUGCAGUAAGAUUUCCUUAUCACAUUCUUCUCCCUGAACCCUACCUACAUCUAUGUACCAGUUGCAGUGGUGGAUAGCAGGAGCUGAGCCGAGAAGGACGAAGAGAUAGAUGAAUUAUUCUCAGGAUAAUCGCCGUCGGGCCUACUCACAAACGAUAUGCAUGUGUAGUCCUUCAAAAACAAGGGAACCGUCAUGUUGAUAAGCGAGUCGUUGCCUCCCGAGGUGAACUGCUUAGGAUUAGACGCUAAUCAUCUCUGGAAUUUUGAUCUUCUGCAUGGAGAGUACUCACCGGUGGCAGCUCCAUGAGUACUUGCCGGAGUAUAUGUCUACGUGUCUAAGGAAAAAGAAUCAAGGAAAGGCAUAUUUUCUUCUGCAGCCAUACCUCGGUUGUUCAUCCGAUUGUUGUGUGUUAUUCUGGUGCAUAGCAAGAGAAGCCUCUUCUAAAUCAUGUUGCGGUUCGCCUGUCCUGUGUGUUGCUUUGAUUCGAAAAAAAACAAGAUCGAGAAGCACAAGGUGACUACCGUAGAUGGAUCUGUCACCCGUUGCCUCCAUCGAUUCAACAUUGGAUUGCAAAACUGUAACGCAGGACCCUCAGCCAUGCAGUGAUCACUAUUUUUUUGCGGACCAUUCUGUACAGGCUUCUCCCUACCAUGUGUAAUCUAUCAGGCAUGUAUGCAAUGCACAUUUAGGCGUGCCAUCGUACUAUAGGCUAUGAGUGCUUGACAUAAUGUGAUUUUGUUGCGGGUGAUUGAUUUAUCGCUUCUUAAUUUCA
This is a long non-coding RNA of Triticum aestivum (bread wheat), 2315 nucleotides long. RefSeq lists it as uncharacterized. The record is from RefSeq and is a predicted model, not a curated record. The transcript is spliced from 3 exons. Lineage: Eukaryota; Viridiplantae; Streptophyta; Magnoliopsida; Poales; Poaceae.